Molecule: unclassified non-coding RNA, 376 nt
Filed under: uncultured Actinomycetes bacterium
Lineage: Bacteria; Bacillati; Actinomycetota; Actinomycetes
Description: uncultured actinobacterium contains 16S-23S intergenic spacer region
Source: RNAcentral
UCCGAGUUAACCCCGGCAGUCUCCCGUGAGUCCCCAACUUAAUGCUGGCAACAUGCGACGGGGGUUGCGCUCGUUGCGGGACUUAACCCAACAUCUCACGACACGAGCUGACGACAGCCAUGCACCACCUGUGACGGUGCCCCGAAGGGAGACCGUGUUUCCACGGCUGUCACCGACAUGUCAAGCCCAGGUAAGGUUCUUCGCGUUGCGUCGAAUUAAACCACAUGCUCCGCUGCUUGUGCGGGUCCCCGUCAAUUCCUUUGAGUUUUAGCCUUGCGGCCGUACUCCCCAGGCGGGACACUUAUCGCGUUGGCUUCGGCACGGACAGAUUCGACUCCGCCCACACCUAGUGUCCAUCGUUUACGGCAUGGACUAC